Molecule: long non-coding RNA, 2341 nt
Filed under: Ananas comosus (pineapple)
Lineage: Eukaryota; Viridiplantae; Streptophyta; Magnoliopsida; Poales; Bromeliaceae
Description: long non-coding RNA (ACOM_LNC033468)
Source: RNAcentral
UGGUUCGAGUUAUCCUGGCAGGAUUACAGGCAAUCCUGCCAGGAUAACUAUGUUUGGUUAAUCUGCUAUGUAAUCUAGUCGUUAAUGUAGCAUUACAAAUCAAGCAGGAUUACAUCGAAAAUAUUAACGAGAGGGGGGUCGUGUAUCUUGCAUUACUGAAACCCGUUAAUACUAUAUAUUAUGUAAAAUGACAAUUUCACCCUCCAACAACCCCAAAUCUAAUUAACAGCAUUAUUUUCAUCUCUCUCUCGCCUUCCCCCCUCUCUCUCGCACGCCGCUUUCUCUCGCUCUCUCUCUCUCUCGAUGUCUCUCUCUCUAUCUCUCUCUCUCACACGAACACCUAUCAUCUUCUAUUGCGUCGUCCUCCCAAGUAAUCAUCACAAUCUCCUUCCCUCCAUUCGUCAUUUCUGCAAAAAAUAAUAUUCAAAUGACCACAACAAGGGCAAUUUUAGAAAAAACUAUACUUUUAUGUCAGAAUUACUAAAUUUUAUAAACUGAACCAAACGUAUUAAUGCUAUAAACACCGUAAUCUAUUAUUACAUUACUGCAUUAAACCAAACGCGCUAAUGCAGCAUCAGUAGUAAUCUCACGCCGAAAUCUAAGAUACCUGGAUAUGUCGAGAUACUUUGUAAUAUUACAUAACUCGAACCAAACGGGCCCUUGGUGUAAUCUUACACCUUUGUAAUGCUGCAAUAUCGAACAGAUUACAUACCGGAUGAACCAAACAUAAUAAUUCUGGCAAGAUUACCUUUAAUCCUGUCAGGAUAAACCGAACCAAAUGCACCCUAAAAGGAAAUGGGGAUAUUUGAAUUUUUUUUAAAUCAAGAAGACUAUUUUGACGCUCUAGGGGUAAAUAAAAUAUUUAUGAAGCUUUGAAGGGCAUAUUAGAUGUUAUCCCUAAAAUUAAAAUACUAUCUUUAUCGUCUUUGUUAGUGUAUAUUAGAUAUUAUCCCUAAAUCCUUCGUCUCUCUCUCUCUCUCUCUCUCUCUCUCUCUCACACACACACACACCCACCUCGAGGCUAAGCCUGAAGCCCCUCAAAUUCUCUUUAUAUUGAUGUGUUUAAAUAUUUGGUACUGUUGCUUUUAUAAUACUUGUUACUUGUUAUCGUUAUCGAUACGAUCAUUUAGUAUUUUUUUCUUAUUAUAUGUUCUAUUGUUUUAUUUUCAUAAAAUUUUGGCUAAAUAUUUCAUCAAUCUUGCACAUUUACUUUGAAAAUAUAUAUUGGAUCAAGUGAACAUAAAAAUUCAAAAGUACUUUAUUUAUCUAAAUAUGCUUAGCUAAUUUUCCAAUGUCCAAAAAUUAUAGUUUGAUAUGAUUUUGUUACAUUAUAGUAAAAAGGAAUGCCAUUAGGGGCGUGUUUAGUUUGCGUCUNGAGUUAGAGGGGUAAACAUAAUUUUAUACAACAUGUAAAAUUAGCCGUCUUUAGUAAUCCAAGAUACACACCUCCUUCCUUAGUAAUAUCUUUGGGGUGCGUUUGGUUCGAGUUAUCUUGGCAGAAUUACAGGCAAUCCUGCCAGGAUAACUAUGUUUGGUUAAUCUGCUAUGUAAUCUAGUCGUUAAUGUAGCAUUACAAAUCGAGCAGGAUUACAUCGAAAAUAUUAACGAGAGGGAGGUCGUAUAUCUUGCAUUACUGAAACCCGUUAAUACUAUAUAUUAUGUACAAUGACAAUUUUACCCUCCAACAACCCCAAAUCUAAUUAACAGCAUUAUUUUCAUCUCUCUCUCACCUUCCCCCCUCUCUCUCGCACGCCGAUUUCUCUCGCUCUCUCUCUCUCUCUCUCUCUCUCGACGUCUCUCUCUCUAUCUCUCUCUCUAUCUCUCUCUCUCUCUCGCACGAACACCUAUCAUCUUCUUGCGUCGUCCUCCCAGGUAGUCAUCACAAUCUCCUUCCCUCCAUUCGUCAUUUCUGCAAAAAAUAAUAUUCAAAUGACCACAACAAGGGCAAUUUUAGAAAAAACUAUACUUUUAUAUCAGAAUUACUAAAUUUUAUAAACUGAACCAAACGUAUUAAUGCUAUAAACACCGUAAUCUAUUAUUACAUUACUGCAUUAAACCAAACGCGCUAAUGCAGCAUCAGUAGUAAUCUCACGCCGAAAUCUAAGAUACCUGGAUAUGUCGAGAUACUUUGUAAUAUUACAUAACUCGAACCAAACGGGCCCUUGGUGCAAUCUUACACCUUUGUAAUGCUGCAAUAUUGAACAGAUUACAUACCGGAUGAACCAAACAUAAUAAUUCUGGCAAGAUUACCUUUAAUCCUGUCAGGAUAAACCGAACCAAACGCACCCUAAAAGGAAAUGGAGAUAUUUGAAUUUUUUUUAAAUCAAGAAGACUAUUUUGA